AGUGAACGCUGGCGGUAGGCCUAACACAUGCAAGUCGAACGGCAGCACAGUAAGAGCUUGCUCUUACGGGUGGCGAGUGGCGGACGGGUGAGGAAUACAUCGGAAUCUACUUUUUCGUGGGGGAUAACGUAGGGAAACUUACGCUAAUACCGCAUACGACCUACGGGUGAAAGCAGGGGAUCUUCGGACCUUGCGCGAUUGAAUGAGCCGAUGUCGGAUUAGCUAGUUGGCGAGGUAAAGGCCCACCAAGGCGACGAUCCGUAGCUGGUCUGAGAGGAUGAUCGGCCACACUGGAACUGAGACACGGUCCAGACUCCUACGGGAGGCAGCAGUAGGGAAUAUUGGACAAUGGGCGCAAGCCUGAUCCAGCCAUGCCGCGUGGGUGAAGAAGGCCUUCGGGUUGUAAAGCCCUUUUAUUGGGAAAGAAAAGCAGCAGGUUAAUCCCCCGCUGUUCUGACGGUACCCAAAGAGUAAGCACCGGCUAACUUCGUG
This 492-nucleotide ribosomal RNA is filed under the name uncultured bacterium. RNAcentral describes it as "partial 16S ribosomal RNA". It matches the Rfam family "Bacterial small subunit ribosomal RNA", at positions 29 to 507 of the family's 1533-position model. The record is from RNAcentral.